CUUGGUCAUUUAGAGGAAGUAAAAGUCGUAACAAGGUCUCCGUUGGUGAACCAGCGGAGGGAUCAUUAAAAAGAGAGUUUAACAACUCCUCAACCCUUGUGAAUAUACCUAAAUCGUUGCUUCGGCGGGCAGCCCCAGGGCGGGGCCGCAGCCUGCCUAGCAGGUGCCCGCCGAAAGCGCCACAAACUCUUGUUUUAUAGUAUCUCUGAGUCUAAACACAAAUAAGUUAAAACUUUCAACAACGGAUCUCUUGGCUUUGGCAUCGAUGAAGAACGCAGCGAAAUGCGAUAAGUAAUGUGAAUUGCAGAAUUCAGUGAAUCAUCGAAUCUUUGAACGCACAUUGCGCCCAUUAGCACUCUAGUGGGCAUGCCUGUUCGAGCGUCAUUUCAACCCUCAGGCCCUCGGCUGCCUGGCGUUGGGGCACCUACGGCGUACGUAGGCCCCGAAAAACAGUGGCGGUGCUCGCCAGCACUCCGGGCGCAGUAGUUUCCUUCUCGCCUAGGACGUCUGGUGAUCUAUCAGCCGUUAAACCACCAAUUUUAACAAAGGUUGACCUCGAAUCAGGUAGGAAUACCCGCUGAACUUAAGCAUAUCAAUAAGCGGAGGA
RNAcentral lists this ribosomal RNA (607 nucleotides) under uncultured Rhodoveronaea. Its description in RNAcentral is "eukaryotic LSU rRNA". The stretch from base 231 to 384 matches the Rfam family "5.8S ribosomal RNA". Lineage: Eukaryota; Fungi; Ascomycota; Sordariomycetes. The record is from RNAcentral.